CUACGGGAGGCAGCAGUGAGGAAUAUUGCACAAUGGGGGGGACCCUGAUGCAGCAACGCCGCGUGGAGGAUGACGCAUUUCGGUGUGUAAACUCCUUUUAUAUGUCAAGAAAAUGACGGUAGCAUAUGAAUAAGCACCGGCUAACUCCGUGCCAGCAGCCGCGGUAAUACGGAGGGUGCAAGCGUUACUCGGAAUCACUGGGCGUAAAGGACGCGUAGGCGGGUUGGUAAGUCAGGUGUGAAAUCCUACAGCUUAACUGUAGAACUGCACUUGAAACUUCUAAUCUAGAGUAUGGGAGGGGGAGAUGGAAUUAGUGGUGUAGGGGUAAAAUCCGUAGAUAUCACUAGGAAUACCUAAAGCGAAGGCGAUCUCCUGGAACAUUACUGACGCUAAGGCGUGAAAGCGUGGGGAGCAAACAGGAUUAGAUACCCUAGUAGUC
This 439-nucleotide ribosomal RNA is filed under the name uncultured bacterium. RNAcentral describes it as "partial 16S ribosomal RNA". It matches the Rfam family "Bacterial small subunit ribosomal RNA", at positions 339 to 795 of the family's 1533-position model. The record is from RNAcentral.